RNAcentral lists this ribosomal RNA (438 nucleotides) under uncultured bacterium. Its description in RNAcentral is "bacterial SSU rRNA". It matches the Rfam family "Bacterial small subunit ribosomal RNA", at positions 20 to 445 of the family's 1533-position model. The record is from RNAcentral.
AGGCUCACACCCGCCGCUGUAGUCCAAGCCUAACACAUGCAAGUCGAACGGUACAGGAAGCAGCUUGCUGCUUCGCUGACGAGUGGCGGACGGGUGAGUAAUGUCUGGGAAACUGCCUGAUGGAGGGGGAUAACUACUGGAAACGGUAGCUAAUACCGCAUAACGUCGCAAGACCAAAGAGGGGGACCUUCGGGCCUCUUGCCAUCGGAUGUGCCCAGAUGGGAUUAGCUAGUAGGUGGGGUAACGGCUCACCUAGGCGACGAUCCCUAGCUGGUCUGAGAGGAUGACCAGCCACACUGGAACUGAGACACGGUCCAGACUCCUACGGGAGGCAGCAGUGGGGAAUAUUGCACAAUGGGCGCAACGCCUGAUGCAGCCAUUGCCGACGUGUAUGAACGAAGGGCCUUUCGAGGUUCGUCAAAGUACUUUCAAGCGGGG